GACGAACGCUGGCGGCGUGCCUAAUACAUGCAAGUAGAACGCUGAAACUUGGUGCUUGCACCGAGCGGAUGAGUUGCGAACGGGUGAGUAACGCGUAGGUAACCUGCCUGGUAGCGGGGGAUAACUAUUGGAAACGAUAGCUAAUACCGCAUAAGAGUAGAUGUUGCAUGACAUUUGCUUAAAAGGUGCAAUUGCACCACUACCAGAUGGACCUGCGUUGUAUUAGCUAGUUGGUGGGGUAACGGCUCACCAAGGCGACGAUACAUAGCCGACCUGAGAGGGUGAUCGGCCACACUGGGACUGAGACACGGCCCAGACUCCUACGGGAGGCAGCAGUAGGGAAUCUUCGGCAAUGGACGGAAGUCUGACCGAGCAACGCCGCGUGAGUGAAGAAGGUUUUCGGAUCGUAAAGCCCUGUUGUAAGAGAAGAACGAGUGUGAGAGUGGAAAGUUCACACUGUGACGGUAUCUUACCAGAAAGGGACGGCUAACUACGUG
Molecule: ribosomal RNA, 497 nt
Filed under: uncultured bacterium
Lineage: Bacteria
Description: partial 16S ribosomal RNA
Rfam family: Bacterial small subunit ribosomal RNA
Source: RNAcentral